Molecule: ribosomal RNA, 234 nt
Filed under: uncultured Candidatus Saccharibacteria bacterium
Lineage: Bacteria; Candidatus Saccharimonadota
Description: partial 16S ribosomal RNA
Rfam family: Bacterial small subunit ribosomal RNA
Source: RNAcentral
UAAGUAGAUAGUGAAAUCGUGUGGCUCAACCAUACAGACAUUAUCUAAACUGCUCAGCUAGAGGACAAGAGAGGUACUUGGAAUUCCCAGUGUAGGAGUGAAAUCCGUAGAUAUUGGGAGGAACACCGAUGGCGUAGGCAGAGUACUGGCUUGUUCCUGACACUCAGGCACGAAAGCGUGGGAGCGAACUGGAUUAGAUACCCAGGUAGUCCACGCCGUAAACGAUGGAUGCUA